AUUGAACGCUGGCGGCAGGCCUCACACAUGCCAGUCGAACUAGUGGCGGACGGGUGAGUAAUGUCUGGGAAACUGCCUGAUGGAGGGGGAUAACUACUGGAAACGGUAGCUAAUACCGCAUACCAUCAGAUGUGCCCAGAUGGGAUUAGCUUGUUGGUGGGGUAACGGCUCACCAAGGCGACGAUCCCUAGCUGUUCUGAGAGGAUGACCAGCCACACGGGAAAUGAGACAAGGUACAGAAGCCUACGGGAGGCAGAAGUGGGGAAGAGUGCAAAAUGGGCGCAAGCCUGAUGCAGCCAUGCCGCGUGUAUGAAGAAGGCAUGCGGGGUGUAAAGUACUUUAAGCGGGGAGGCGUGACCCGCAGAAGAAGCACCGGCUAACUCCGUGCCAGCAGCCGCGGUAAUAC
This 406-nucleotide ribosomal RNA is filed under the name uncultured bacterium. RNAcentral's name for it is "partial 16S ribosomal RNA". It matches the Rfam family "Bacterial small subunit ribosomal RNA", at positions 29 to 526 of the family's 1533-position model. The record is from RNAcentral.